RNAcentral lists this long non-coding RNA (298 nucleotides) under Nicotiana benthamiana. RNAcentral's name for it is "long non-coding RNA (NBEN_LNC032568)". Lineage: Eukaryota; Viridiplantae; Streptophyta; Magnoliopsida; Solanales; Solanaceae. The record is from RNAcentral.
CUCAAUGUGAAAAGACAGAGGGUCCAAUAAACUAAUCAUUUACUAAAUAUUAUCUACACUUAAAUAGGUCAUGGACGUACAAAAGGUAAUAAUGUUCUAAUUUGUUCCUAUUCCAUAGCCAAACAAGACCUAUACUCUCCCCAGGACUCAAAAAUUGGGUGUCACGUGAAAACUGCCAAUUUUCAAGGACUAUGUCCUGGUUUCUGGUAUUCCGACCGGCGAAUUAGCCGUUUUCCGGCGAAAACAUUAUGGAGAAAGAGCCUCUCCUCUCUUAUGACAGCCCGAGGACACCACNNNN